GACGAACGCUGGCGGCGUGCUUAACACAUGCAAGUCGAACGGAAAGGCCCUGCUUUUGUGGGGUGCUCGAGUGGCGAACGGGUGAGUAACACGCGAGUAACCUGCCCUUGACUUUGGGAUAACUUCAGGAAACUGGGGCUAAUACCGGAUAGGAGCUCCUGCAGCAUGGUGGGCGUUGGAAAGAUUCGGCGGUUCGGGAUGGACUCGCGGCUUAUCAGCUUGUUGGUGGGGUAGUGGAUUACCAAGGCUUUGACGGGUAGCCGGCCUGGGAGGGUGACCAGCGACAAUGGGACUAAGGGACGGACCAGACUGCAACGGGAGGCAGCAGUGGGAAGUCUUACGGAGUGGGGGGAAGCCUGAGACAGCGGCGCCGCGUGCGGGAUGACGGCCUUCGGGUUGUAAACCGCUUUGGCCGGAGACGAACAGUGAGUGACGGUAAUGGGUCAGAAAGCAACGGCUAACUACGUG
RNAcentral lists this ribosomal RNA (468 nucleotides) under uncultured bacterium. Its description in RNAcentral is "partial 16S ribosomal RNA". It matches the Rfam family "Bacterial small subunit ribosomal RNA", at positions 28 to 507 of the family's 1533-position model. The record is from RNAcentral.